CCUGUCGCCGCCCUGCAGAAAUGCUUCAAUUACCCACAGUCCUUCGCCAGAGAAGACCAGUGUCCAGGGCACUGGCUCCUCAUCUCACUAGGGCUUAUGCCAAAGAUGUAAAAUUUGGUGCAGAUGCCCAAGCCUUAAUGCUUUAAGGUGUAGACCUUUUAGCUGAUGCUAUCGCUGUUACAAUGGGGCCAAAGGGAAGAACAGUGAUUAUUGAAUAGAGUUGGGGAAGUCCCAGAGUAACAAAAGAUGGUGUGACUGUUGCAAAGUCAAUUGACUUAAAUGAUAAAUAUAAAAAUAUUGGAGCUAAACUUAUUCAAGAUGUUGCCAGUAACACAAAUGAAGAGACUGGGGAUGGUACCACCACUGCUACUGUACUGGCACGGUCUAUUGCCAAGGAAGGCUUUGAGAAAAUUAGAAAAGGUGCUAAUCCAGUGGAAAUCAGGAGAGGUGUGAUGUUAGCUGUUGAUGCUAUAAUUGCUGAACUAAAGAAACAGUCUAAACCUGUAACAACCCUUGAAGAAAUAGCUCAGGUUACUACAAUUUCUGCAAACGGAGAAAAAGAAAUUGGCAACAUCAUUUCUGAUACAAUGAAAAAGGUUGGAAGAAAGGGCGUCAUCACAGUAAAGGAUGGAAAAACACUGAAUGAUGAAUUAGAAAUUAUUGAAGUCAUGAAAUUUGAUCGACGCUACAUUUCUCCAUACUUUAUUAACACGUCAAAAGGUCAGAAAUGUGAAUUCCAGGAUGCCUGUGUUCUAUUGAGUGAAAAGAAAAUUUCUAGUGUCAAGUCGAUUGAUUGUACCUGCUCUUGAAAUUGCCAGUGCUCACUGUAAGCCCUUGGUCAUAAUUGCUGAAGAUGUUGAUGAAGAAGCUCUAAGUACACUCAUUUUGAAUAGGUUAAAAGUUGGUCUUCAAGUCAUAGCAGUCAAAGCUCCAGGAUUUGGUGAUAAUAGAAAGAACCAGCUUAAUGACAUGGCUAUUGCUACUGCUGGUGCAGUGUUUGGGGAAGUGGAGUUCACCCUAAACCUUGAAGAUGUUCAGCCCCAUGACUUAGGAAAAGUUGGAGAGGUCAUUGUGACCAAAGAUGAUGCCAUGCUCUUGAAACAUGUAUUCAGCUAGUGAAUAUGAAAAGGAAAAACUGAAUGAACGUCUGGCAAAACUUUCAGAUGGAGUAGCUGUGCUGAGGGUUGGUGGGACAAGUGAUGUUGAAGUAAAUGAAAAGAAAGACAGAGUUACAGAUGCCCUUAAUGCUACAAGAGCUGUUGUUGAAGAAGGCAUUGUUCUGGGAGGGGGUUGUGCCCUGCUUUGGUGCAUUCCAGCCUUGGACUCACUAACUCCAGCUAAUGAAGAUCAAAAAAUUGGUAUAGAAAUUAUUAAAAGAACACUCAAAAUUCCUGCAAUGACCAUUGCUAAGAAUGCAGGUGUUGAAGGAUCUUUGAUAGUUGAGAAAAUUAUGCAAAUUUCCUCAGAAGUUGGUUAUGAGAUUUUGUGAAUAUGGUGGAAAAAGGAAUCAUUGAUCCAACAAAGGUUGUAGGAACUGCUUUAUUGGAUGCUGCUGGGGUGGCCUCUCUGUUAACUACAGCAGAGGUUGUAGUCACAGAAAUUCCUAAAGAAGAGAAGGACCCUGGAAUAGGUGUAAUGGGUAGCAUGGGAGGUGGCAUGUUCUAAUUCCUAGAAUAGUGCUUUACUGUUACUAAUGAACUGUGACAGGAAGCUGAAGGCAGUGUUGCUCACCAGUAACUUCAGAGAAGUCAGUUGGAGAAAAUGAAGAAAAGGCUGGCUGAUGUUUAAGAAUAUCACUAUAACCAUCAGUUACUGGUUUCAGUUGACAAUAUAUAAUGUUUACGGCUGUCAUUAUCCAUGCCUACAGAUAAUUUACUUUGUAUUUUUGAAUAAAAAGACGUUUGUACA
Lemur catta (Ring-tailed lemur) is the source of this 1908-nucleotide RNA transcript. It is a transcript of the gene named 60 kDa heat shock protein, mitochondrial-like, with no coding region annotated. The record is from RefSeq and is a predicted model, not a curated record. The transcript has a single exon. Lineage: Eukaryota; Metazoa; Chordata; Mammalia; Primates; Lemuridae.